Molecule: transfer RNA, 69 nt
Filed under: Ovis aries (sheep)
Lineage: Eukaryota; Metazoa; Chordata; Mammalia; Artiodactyla; Bovidae
Rfam family: tRNA
About the family: Transfer RNA (tRNA) molecules are approximately 80 nucleotides in length. Their secondary structure includes four short double-helical elements and three loops (D, anti-codon, and T loops).
Source: Rfam by way of RNAcentral
CCUGGUGGCUCAGAUGGUAAAGAAUCUGCCUGCAAUGCAGGAAACCCAGGUUCAAUUCCUGGGUCAGGA